AUUGAACGCUGGCGGCAGGCCUAACACAUGCAAGUCGAGCGAGCGGCGGACGGGUGAGUAAUGUCUGGGAAACUGCCUGAUGGAGGGGGAUAACCACUGGAAACGGUAGAUAACACCGCAUACCAUGAGAUGUGCCCAGAUGGGAUUAGCUAGUAGGUGGGGUAACGGCUCACCUAGGCGACGAUCCCUAGCUGGUCUGAGAGGAGGACCAGCCACACUGGAACUGAGACACGGUCCAGACUCCUACGGGAGGCAGCAGUGGGAAAUAUUGCACAAGGGGCGCAAGCCGGAUGUAGCCAUGCCGCGUGUAUGAAGAAGGCCUUCGGGUUGUAAAGUACUUUCAGCGGGGAGGCGUUACCCGCAGAAGAAGCACCGGCUAACUCCGUGCCAGCCGCCGCGGUAAUAC
RNAcentral lists this ribosomal RNA (406 nucleotides) under uncultured bacterium. RNAcentral describes it as "partial 16S ribosomal RNA". It matches the Rfam family "Bacterial small subunit ribosomal RNA", at positions 29 to 526 of the family's 1533-position model. The record is from RNAcentral.